Molecule: ribosomal RNA, 497 nt
Filed under: uncultured bacterium
Lineage: Bacteria
Description: partial 16S ribosomal RNA
Rfam family: Bacterial small subunit ribosomal RNA
Source: RNAcentral
GAUGAACGCUGGCGGCGUGCCUAAUACAUGCAAGUCGAGCGAACGGACGAGAAGCUUGCUUCUCUGAUGUUAGCGGCGGACGGGUGAGUAACACGUGGAUAACCUACCUAUAAGACUGGGAUAACUUCGGGAAACCGGAGCUAAUACCGGAUAAUAUUUUGAACCGCAUGGUUCAAAAGUGAAAGACGGUCUUGCUGUCACUUAUUGAUGGAUCCGCGCUGCAUUAGCUAGUUGGUAAGGUAACGGCUUACCAAGGCAACGAUGCAUAGCCGACCUGAGAGGGUGAUCGGCCACACUGGAACUGAGACACGGUCCAGACUCCUACGGGAGGCAGCAGUAGGGAAUCUUCCGCAAAGGGCGAAAGCCUGACGGAGCAACGCCGCGUGAGUGAUGAAGGUCUUCGGAUCGUAAAACUCUGUUAUUAGGGAAGAACAUAUGUGUAAGUAACUGUGCACAUCUUGACGGUACCUAAUCAGAAAGCCACGGCUAACUACGUG